RNAcentral lists this ribosomal RNA (468 nucleotides) under uncultured bacterium. RNAcentral describes it as "partial 16S ribosomal RNA". It matches the Rfam family "Bacterial small subunit ribosomal RNA", at positions 28 to 507 of the family's 1533-position model. The record is from RNAcentral.
GACGAACGCUGGCGGCGUGCUUAACACAUGCAAGUCGAACGGAAAGGCCCUGCUUUUGUGGGGUGCUCGAGUGGCGAACGGGGGAGUAACACGUGAGUAACCUGCCCUUGACUUUGGGAUAACUUCAGGAAACUGGGGCUAAUAUCGGAUAGGAGCUCCUGUUGCAUGGUGGGGGUUGGAAAGUUUCGGCGGUUGGGGAUGGACUCGCGGCUUAUCAGUUUGUUGGUGGGGUAGUGGCUUACCAAGGCUUUGACGGGUAGCCGGCCUUAGAGGGUGACCGGCCACAAUGGGACUACGAGACGGCCCAGACUCCAACGGGAGGCAACAGUGGGGAAUAUUGCACAAUGGGCGGAAGCCUGAUGCAGCAACGCCGCGUGCGGGAUGACGGCCUUCGGGUUGUAAACCGCUUUCGCCUGUGACGAAGCGGGAGUGACGGUAAUGGGUAAAGAAGCACCGGCUAACUACGUG